AUAAUACAAUGCUUUCUAUAAAAUGAGUGAACGGCACUCCCAUCACGCGAAUAAAGCACCCCACAUGGUGAGCAUAUUACAUGCAUCGUCAGUCAGGCUGAUAGCAACUCUUAAGAAAAAAUGAACAAAGUCUACUAUUUUGCUGUCUUAGUAUCAUAUAGGAGGCCAUAAAAAAUGAAUAAUUGUCAAACUAAGCCAGGUUCUUUUCCAUAACGUUAGCACUCAAUAGAGUCACAUGCGAACCUGCUAUUUGGCAAAAUCACUGUUCAUUUUUUAGCCUUUUGUUUUGUUCAGUUGAAUUCAUUCGAAAUCAUGGCAUGAUUGUCUAAUUUCAACUAGAACGUGUUGUUAGGAUCUAACACACGGCUUAAUAAUAUUUCAAGGUCUAUCAAAGUAAGAGUAAAUUGCUGUUUAGCAGUCAUGUUGAGAAGCAGAAACUAUUUCGUAUCCAGCAUCUAAGAAUCUCAAGGCAUCUACAGAUAUACCUUGGAAGUAACACAAGGCCUUAGUGCUAGAAAAUCGUCUAAGGCAACUGAAUGCACCCACAAAAUAUAUAUAAACAUAUAUGCACGUGUACAAUCUCUGUACCACAUGAGCAUCUAAUGGCGCCGGAUAAUUUGCGCCGAUGGUGUCUAUCCAGCUAAAAAGCAUGUUGUGAUAACCAUAUGGUUUCCCAUUCAUAAUCUGUGCAAACUCCCAUGCAGCAGCUCAUUAAAUUUGGCUCACAUAUCAGGAUGCAGUGGAAGCAACGCAAUGUGGGGAUUUGAGUAAUCUUUGUUAAGCUUGAACUCCCACCAUUUUCCCAUGGUAACACAGCAAUGACAUCUUCUCCCUGCAAUGAUAAGAACAAAACAAAACUUGCAUAAUCUCUAUUACUAUGUUAGACUUCUGUAGCACCUGACCCCUUUACCAACACAAAGGAACAAAGCAUGUAGCAAAAACCCAAAUGUGACCAUAAAUUAAUCAAGGUCUGCCUCAAGUAAAGGACGUCAUUUCAUCAAAUUCUAACCAUAAUCAUCAUCAGUAAGUUAUCGUCUCGUGUGUAAGGAUGGUCCUGAAGUUCAGUAGAAAAAGUUCAGACACUGCAUUCCCUAUGUUACAAAUAUGAUGAUGCUCCAAUAGAGCUUCUAGUAGAAGCCUAAAUAGGAUCAGCUGCAGUUCAACAUGAACCUGAAGCAGCAUGUCAUCGUUUACUUACUCAUCCUCUCUUACAAUCAAAAGUUUCUAUGGGAGCACAAAAAGGAAAGACCUAUCUUAUUAGAGAACAUAAGAUGAGCAAGGAGAUUUAAGGACAUAGGGGCGUGACUAAAGCACGCUUAAUAUGCAAAAUGGAACAAUCUCAAUGGGAACCAUAUUUGUGAGAGAAGAAGUCCAUGAUUCGACAAAAGUCACAUUUAUAAAGUAAUCACACAGAAAUACAAUGCCCCAAAAACCUAAGGGUUCAUGAAAUGUUAGAGAAACACAGCAGAAACCCUACUUGUCCUUUUCAAUAUGUAUGAGACCACACUUUGAUAAUCAGAGGACAUUAAAGCAGUAUUGUAUGAGAGUCUUUAAUGAUGAAUGACAGAUAAGCAUAGUGAAUUUUUUUUUCUUUUUUUUGGUCGGUAAGCACAGGGAAUUAAAGAGAUGGAGAAAUAAUGACUCAAACAAUUCUGGGGGUGUUUGAAACAUUUGAACGUUUGUCUGUUGGAUAUCCCCAUAUAGGAACAAGGUGGACAGUUAUUGUGGAAGACUGGCAUACUUACAGCCAUGUUAAUAUUGUGUCUAUGCAAUUGGUUUAAAACUUUACUUCACAAUUACAAUUGCAGAGACAGCAGCAGGCAAAAAGAUUGGAUGAAAUGUCGAACAUCAAAAGUAAUCCGUCAAUGUAUGGAAAAAAAAGAACAAGGAAUAGAAAAAAAUGCUUAAAAACAAUCGCAAGGUAAUCCUUUUCCUCAAAAGGCUUUUUCUCCACUAGUAUAUAUAAAAAUUAGGCCUUCAAACUGAAAAAGAAAUACACUUACAUGCAUAACCACCCUAUAUCUGUUUCCGAAUUACCUGUUCAUUAUCAUGUCCGGAUUCACCAACCCAAAGCUUUCCUUCAGCAUCCCUUAAGCACACAGCUGUGUGACCAGCGUAUGCGCCACUGACCCAUUUCUCUAGAGUCCCAAAACCACCCCCACUUUCCACGAAUUUUUGAAAUUGCAAUGAAGUCUCCAGAGUGGAUAUCAUCAAUGCUGAUGUUUGUAACCAAGGGCUGGGGACGUUGCUCAAAUGAAGCUCCCAUAUGCUUCUUGAGAAAACCAAUGUUAGAUUUCUCCCCUCACCCGGUAUUUGAAAACAAGGAAACACAUCCCACAGUGCUUGAAGGGUCCCUAGCAUCCCAGCUUGCAUCAGAAAGAUUGACACUCCUCUACUUUUCACCUGCAAUCAAAAUAAUGGAAAAUCAAAGUUUGACAACUCGCCAAUAUGCACAAGCAAGAGCAGAAGAGAAAAAAGAUAAUUGCAGCUUACAUAUUCAAACUCAGCUUUUCCUUCCCACUCUUUGAACUCAAAUGUGUGCUCACGAGAUAAAAGAUACUAGUCCCAUGUCACGCAGUAUGGGGUUGCAAAGACAUAAAUAUCCAUACAUGUCCAGCUAUGGGCUUUGCUGACCUGGAUGAGCAAUCCAAACUCAUGGUUACAAGCCGGAUACCUACAACUAGCUGUUAGUUUCCAUAUUCAGCAGAACUAGAUGCAAAAACAAGGACUAUGAAACAUCAACACGAGGCAGUACCCACCCAAACUGGAAUAGCCUCCAUAAGAUAAUUUGAUUUUACAUCAAACGAAACAAUUGUACUUGUAUGAGCAACCAAAUCACUAAAUCCUUCUUCAACCACUUAAAACCUAGACACAAAAGACUCAAGUGACCAACCAUGGUACCAAUUCGUGGAGCUUAAUCAAAGCACAAACAAGCAGAUGAAAGGAGAAGGAAAGAAAAAAACUUAGCUAGUGACGAAAUCCACUAGAAACAUAUUGAGGUAAGAACUGAAAAAUUCCAUCACUCAGAUUCCAACAUAAAUAACCAGAAUGAGAAAAGAGGAACAGUUGGGAUCAAGUGCAUGGCCCAAACAUCGAGGAUAUUCUCUAACGUCCUUUAAAUAAGUGAUUUUCUUUCACAACUCUAUAGAUAAGUAUGACCGCACACUUCAGUUGGUAAGAAAAAUACCGUAAGUAGAUAGAAACUCUAUCCAGUUCAGAGCUUUGAAUCCAUUAGAAAAAAUCGACCUCAAAUUAACUAAAAUAGAAAGCUCAAACUAAGUUAAUCGGAAAUUGGGAAAAGCUGCCAAACGAUGGCCAUUAGACCCCAUCAAACAAACUCCUACAGCCUCACAUCUCCUAGAAUUAUCACACAAUCGAACUGCAGUGAAUUGAAUUAAGCACUAACAUUCGACCAGAGAACCUUAAAAGCUCGUGAACAGUGACUGUCUCUCCACAUUACCAAGCCGCCACAAGCUCAAACAUCCCAAAAUCUUCCAGAAUCGCACUCAAACACAAGUAUUUCCAUUCCAUUCCGUUCCCCACUAUUCACCAAACAAAAAAGAAGACUUGGAAUCAUCACUCCAGUCCAUUCCUUUCCCCAUCAUUUCCCGAUUUCAUUCCAUUCCACCGUACCAAACCCGACGUAAUAGUCAACCAGAAAACCUCAUCUUCCAAAAUGGCACUCAAAACCAAAAGGAGACCAAGCAAAAGCGACGCGAUAAAACUAAAGAACGGACCUUGAUGUGAGGCGUGCCUCCGCCGAACUUGCUCCCGGUGUUGUUGUGGAACUCCCACCAAGCGGUCGGAGGAAAAAACGGCGCCGAGGAAGGCGGGCAACAGGUGCAGGGGACGGCGAAGGGCGUUGAGGAUGGGCCAGGACAGCUGCUUCGGCAAUAGAGGGAGUAUGUUCUCCAUGGUGGAACGGUGGUUUCGCGGCUCGAGAGCGCGGGUUGAGCAGAGAGGAGAACGUGAAGAGGAAGAGAAGUAGCAGAAAUUGGCUGACGAGAAGCCAUGGAAACUGGGGGGGGAGAGAGAGAGUCAUCUCUCCAGCGACGGUCCACUUCUUUAAGUGUCUCACACUGUAAAAGGUGUAGGGGCAAGAGGAGCCACUCGUUUUGAUUAUAUCCUUGGACGCUUGGUAAUUUAGGGUGCUUAACCAGUUAAAUGAAACAUUAAAGCAUCAUUGGGGCUGAAAAUAUUAUGUAUUCUUAUAUUAUGUAUUAAUGUUGGCAAAAAUCUUAAAUUAUAUCCAUCCUGACAUUAAUGUCUCGAAUUAGUAUUGAUUUCGUGGCAAACAAAAGUUUAAGAUUUUUAGAGACGAGAGGUAUUUCCACUUCAAAUAUAAGUUUAAGUGUAGAGAUGAGCAAUUAGAAGUCUCCACAAAAGAUGUAACCCUAUGGGAAGAUAUAUUGCCUUCCCACUCUCUUAUAGCUUGCCGUUAAACUGCGGCCAUUGAUAGCGUCAAAUCGGCUUAUAUUGCCUACCCCCACCCUCUUAUAUUGUUGCAACAACUUUAGCUACACCACCUUUUCAGGACUUGGUUAACAUCAAGAGUAUUCUAUAAAUGGUGUAUAUUUUCAUUUUGUAUGAAGCUAUAUGCAUGUUGUUAGUACGAAUUUGACGUUUAGCACGUUUUCACAGUAAUCAUGCAAUCUCCCUUAUUGUUAUAUUGUGUCUUGAGUUUGAGUAGAGGUGUCAAAAUGAGUUAUUGACCCAUUUAUGGACUCAUUUAAACAUAAAUGGGUUGUUAAUGGGUCAAGCCUAUUUCCUAAAGUACCCAUAAUGAGUUUUAAUGGGUUAAGACUGAGAUAUAUGAAUCUUAAAUGGGUCAAAGAACUUGCCCAUUUAAGACCCAUUUAUCAACCCACUAAAAAUAAACUCAUUUAUUUUAAGCCAAAACCUCACAAUCUCUCUCUUCUCUCUUUAACUUUACAAAAUAUUUAAAAAAAAAACCAAAAUUAUAAUUAUUUUUUUAUUUUUCUUUUCUUUUCUUUUCUUUUUUUCUUUUUUCUGUUUUCUUUCUUCUUCCUCUGGUCGUCGGCACUGCGAUGGCCGGCGACCGGCCAGGUGAGCCUUGGGCUCGCUAGAUCUGGCGAGGCGGAGGCCUCGCCGACGUCCAGCGAGACUCGAGCCUCACUAGAUCAGGUGAGGGGGCGAGCUUGAGGCUCGCCGGCGUCCGGCGAGGGGCGAGCUCAAGCUGGCUUGAUGUUGGCGAGCCUCGAGCUCGUCGGAUCUGGCGAGGCGGAGGCCUCAUCGACGUCUGACGAGGCUCGGGCCUCACCAAUCUGGCAAGACUUGGGCUCACCAGCGUCGGGCGAGCUCGAGCUCCCUGGAUUUGGCGAGCCUCAAGCUCGUCAAUGUUGGCAAGUUGGGCGAGCUCCAGGUCGCCUGUGGCUUGCCGCUGACCAUCAUUGUGGCCAGCAGCCGACCAAAGAAGAAGAAGAACAAAAAAGAAAAAAGAAAAUUAUAUUUAAAAAUAAAAAUAAAAAUAAUUAAAAAAUUAAUUUAAAAAAAAAAUUAAUAUUCGAUUUUUUAAAAUAUAUAUUUUUAAAAUUAUAAAAAAUGUCCAUUAAAUUUGCGUUGUAUAAAACCAUUUUAGCAAUACCAUUUUAUAUAUAUAAUAAGUUUUCUUAAAUUUAAUUAAAUGGGUCGGGUAUGGAUCGAAAAUUUUGUAUUGCAAUAAACGGGUUAAAUGGAUCGAUUUAGGUCGGAUCAUUUAUGACCUGAUCCAAACCCGACCCGAUCCACCCGUUUAACAGGUAUAAGUUUGAGCCCAUGUAUGGGCCCACAACUGAAGAAUCUAUUGCUCAAAGUCACGCACAAAAUGCAGUGUUCUUUUAUUAAUUAAUGCGCACGCAAGUCUUGGACUUUUUUCUCCACUUCAUUAAUGCAAUGCAUGCACGAAUCUCCUCCUGUGUCCCUUUAUCAUUUUUCUCAUUUUUGGUUCGAAUUCCCUUUUGUCAUUGAAGGAGCUGAACGUCCAUUUGUCGCCUUCACUCCAGAGCGCCCCCUCUUUCGGACUCCCCCUGGACCAGCGAAAUGGGAAAAUUCGGCGCCAAAGUCAACGUUGGAAACGCCGGCGACGGCGACGUUCUUGAGGCCUAGCCUCAAGAUUCGAGUGGAAUUGAGAGGGUGCUUCCAUUCCAGACAGCGGUGGAGAGCCGUGACGCUCACGGAGUGAUCGAGACCCAGAGAUUGGAUCCAAGCGCAGAGGCACGCGAGUCUUUUUCGCCAUUUUCAUGGAAUAGGGGUGGACGUUGGUGAUCUGGUUGGGGAAAGGAUGGAGCGUGAGGAGGAUGGUCAGGGACGCAUAUAGGAACGGACUCGACUUAGGGUUCAGGAACGGGUUUACAAAUCGGAUUGAGGUUGCGAAAUGGACCUACAUCUUUCUAGGAUGGAGAAGUUUUUUUCAGAAAUUGUCAGACGAUUUCAGGAAUUUGAAAGAAAUGAGGAGGGGCUAGAGCACAGGGGGAAUUUUAAUUUAUUUUGGCCAAACGUUCGAGCAAUAGUUUCGAAUCACUAAGGAGUAUAUAUAAAUUUCAGUACGGUGACCUCUUUGGUUCAGAUUGGAAAAGUAGUGUGCGGUGGCCAAUGGAUAAUGAUCUCGCUGCCCUCUAGCGAUAUGCAAGGGCCUGGCAGUGCAAUAUUGUGGGCUUAGUAGGGCUUAUUUGCUGGAUAUGCAUCGAUUUCUGCCAAAUAUAUGGCAACAACCGAGUGGCAGAGGUUGUUCUCAUGGGGACCACCAGGGCCAUGGUCGCCGUCCCCUGGGAUGAUUAAUUUAAACAAUUUGUUGAAUUGCUUAAUUCGACAAUUUCGUAUUCGAUAGUGUUGACUCCGUAACUUGCUUUCUCUGAUGAUAAAUGACCAAUAUCAUGCGUUUAGACCACAGUAAGCAUCGGCUCAGAGUCAGCGGUAACAAGUCAAUGAUUGACGCCCUUGAAAGACUUCUAUCCUUCCAAAGUCUAUUUUGACUUAGGCAAUUCCAUUUGUUUCUUCACAUACAUGUUCAAAUUUUUGAGUCAGACUUUCUCAUGUGCUGAUGACUUAAUUACUGCAUGGUUAUAUUAUUAAACUAAAUAAUUUGAUAGAUUAUGAUUGAUCUUAUUAAGCCAACCGCAUUUGAUAUUUUCACGUUAUUUGGCAUACAAAAUGUCGAUAUAAAUAGUGUAAUUCCGGGGGCCGAAGUUGUAAUUGGCUCAAAGGCGAACACGUCUUCAUGAGUAACACCGUCAAACUCCUUUUGAGAUUCUUGGAAUGUCUCCUACUUAGAUAACUCGAUCAGUUUCCUCUUUUUUCUAAUAGUAUAAUUUCCCUUUAUUAAUUUCCUCUAUUUAGAUCUAGUGUAUUUCUCUACUAGUACUUCAGCUCCAGGUGAAAUAAGGGGAUUAAAUUUAUCUGGUCGAUUAACUAUCAACAUCAAUUAAGAUUUAAUUUCUUUCUAUCUCUUUUCGUAAAUAUUUAUACACGAAAUUCUUAUUGUGUAUUUUUAUCAAUAAAUUAUUUUCAUUAUUUAAUAAUUCAUAUAUUUUACCCAAAAAAAUGAUUUAAAUUAAUUUUUUAAAUACCAAUUGUUCCCACACNNNNNNNNNNNNNNNNNNNNNNNNNNNNNNNNNNNNNNNNNNNNNNNNNNNNNNNNNNNNNNNNNNNNNNNNNNNNNNNNNNNNNNNNNNNNNNNNNNNNUUCUCUAGAAUAAAUAAGUUUCUUAAGAAGGUAUUUCACAAUUUCCAAGUUGUCUUUGAAUUAAUCGAGUCUUUCUUAAAUAUCAAUCUACAUAUUGGCUUUCUAAUUGUUGAAUGGGUUUAGUACCCAUGGAUAAUAAGUAAUGCUACAAAGACCUUAGAAGACAAAAAGGAUUUUCACCCUAUAUGAUGUCAUGUGUUCUCAUUGCCCUAAGAACAUAUGUUAGCUUGUCAUACUAUCUAAUGGGCUAGGAUGCAAAAGUCACAAUAUAGCCGUAUGUAGUAUGGCCAUUAAAAAUGCAGAAUAAACAUGGUUUCUUUUUAUUAUUAUUAUUUUUUUUACGAAUAAAGUGAUUCAUUUAUUCAAAACCAUAUUGGAAAUAUAUGACAUGAAUGAUAUAAAAUGUAACAGAAAAAGAAAUUUCUUGAAAUUUUGCAAAGUCGGAGGUGCCGCUCAAAUCGAGAAGUGCGGGUGGUCCCAGCAAAGUGACGUUAAUGUACAAGAAACAAAAGGUAGGAAAAGUAAUAAGAGCAACGUGCAGAAACGACGACGGCUUGGCGUGGAACGAGCAUGGCUUUAAGCAAACACAGAAACAGCACAUCUCGCGAUAUUUUGAUGUCGCGUAUUCUUCCUCUUCUUCUUCUUUUUCUAAACUGAUAAGGCUGCUCCGGAGCCUCUCUUCAUUUUCGUUUUUUUGUUUGUUUUUUCCUCCUCAUUUUUCCAACCACAUCCUCACCAUAACGCGCCUUCUCUCUUUUGUCCCCUAGCUCUCCCACUUUCUUUCGCCCGACUCUCUCUUCUUGUCUUGCUUUCUUUUUUUGGUUCCCGCCCAAACCCUUAAUGAAAGAUUAAUUGCUGUUUAGUAUUCCAAAGUCUAGCAUUAUCGGGCCCCAUCAUCGACCUAUCAAGUUCGUUAAACUCAGUCAUCAAUGGACUGACUAUUUUGUUGAACACGAGCUGCACCACCAUGGCAAGAAAAAGAAAAGUAAAAACUUAGGCAAGGGCUCAUUGAUUUCUAACACUUGAUCAUAAAAAUUUUUGAAAAGAAAUUUUAAUAUCACUGCUUUGAGGAUGGAUGCACUCUCAACAAGUGAACCCGAGUGAUCGAAUUCAAUAAUACGACAGAAUCAUCUCAAAGAUUUAAGUUUAAUAGUUAUUUUAUACGGCGAUUAUGAUAGGAACAUGAUAAUUUCGAGCGCCUGCAAUGUGAUGUCUUGAUGUAUCAUAGGAAUGUUAAUUAGAUAUGCAAACAGUAAAGAGGCAACGGCAUACCGGCAAUGACUUGGGUAGUAACAACGCAUCUAUGAGGCCUAUCCCUUAUUCGAUUUUUUUUUAUUUCUAUUUGUUUUUGUUCAUGUUUUUUUUCUCGAACCGCUCUAAUAUGAAUUAAAUAGUAGACAUCUUAAUAUAAAUUCAACAAUAGAAUUCUCCAUUUCAUUUUUGAAUUUGAAUGAGACUUUUUCUCUAAUUUUUUUACUAAUUCAUUUAGAUUACAUUUUAUAGUAUCACUAAAAUUUUAUUAUGUAAUUUAACUUAUUGUUAUAUCAUCCAUAUAAAAAUCAAAAUAUAAUCUAACUAAAUACAAUAAAUAAAAUCAAACAAAAUCGAAAUGCUCAUUAGAGCAUGGGAUAAUCAUAUUAUCGACAUUGUAGAAAACAGAAAUUCUAAUAAUUUUUAACUACUAACUAAAAUAUGUAAUGUGUUUGUAGGUAGUAUCUCAUUCUGUUUUCUUCUCACCCACUAGCUCUAUGCGCAAUUAUUGAGCCGUGACCAUGUGAAUGCUAGACUAAAGCCUCCCCUCAGCCGGGUUUUUUCCUGCUUUUUAUGUCCUUACCUUUUUCACUAAAUCUUUGCUGAAGAUAUGGUCCAUUAUGAGGAGGUGCUAGUUUUUUUCUAUGUUGUGUCCACUUCUGACCGGAGAGGACUUACUAUUCGGAGAGCGGGCUGCGUCCAAAACUUUCACAAGAAUUGCCAUUUAACUUCACCGCGGAAAAUUUAGGGUCAGGUCGUGUAGGGUUAGUUCAUAAAAAUUCACAAUCAGGGCCGCAAUGUUAAAUGUGAAAUAAUGCAAUGGAGAGAGAGAGAUUGUGGGAUUAUGAAUGUACUUUUAUUAGGGGUCAAAUUAUCGAUGAAUCUGAUCGUUAAAUUUCAUGAAAAUGGGAAUUGGACCUUUAAAUGAAAAUUUAUGUAUCGACAAUAAUUAAUCUUACAUAUUAGUAAGUAAUUGUUUCUCUUUAAAUCAUCCCUUAGUUGAUUUUUUUUUUCUUUUUGGUCUAAAGAUCUAGACUGCAUACAAAAUUGGUCUUGUGAAUUCAUUAGUACAGGUAAUAUUCUAAAUUUGAGUCAAGAUUUAUGCAAAGUAAAUAAGCAACACUACUCACGAAGAUUUUCCUAUUGAUUUCUAGAGGCAAAAAAGAGCAAUGCUAUGCAUAGGAGAACUGGACAUAUAUAUAUAUUAAGAUGGAUAGAAAAUGAUAAGGAAAAUAGUGCGGUAGCUCUCUUAAGAAAAUUUUGUUUUUAAUUUUUUAUUUUCCUUGGAAAGUCUAGAGAAUUUGGCAAUUAAGUAAACCAUAGUUUAACAUUCCAUAAUAAUUUUCCACCUCAUUCGGUGCACUAAUUUUUUGAUAUAUUUACAUAUUUAGCACCAUUUCGGGCAAGACAAAGAAAGAUAAGUAGGCUCAAAAGUUUAUCGGGUGCACGUUCGCAUGAGUUUCCUCGUGGUUAAAGCUGAAAUUGGCUCAAAGGCGAACGCGUGUUCUUGAGUAACACUGUCCCACUCCCUUUGAUGACGAUGACAUCAGAGACAAUUACCCGACACUAUUGAAAAGAGAGAGAGAGAGAGAGAGAGGGGGGGAAGAGGUCUUAUCGUGGCUUCCAAAAGAGGCCACUUGAAAUCUCUUAAAAAAAGUGAAAGUUAUGCGAGGUGGAGUGACAUCCAUAUAAAUAGACAAAUUGCUCAUUAUUUUGUUAAUAGAUUAUUGUCUAGAAAUGAAAAAGAAAAAAAAGAUGUAAAUAGUGAAGCAAUGAGGCAGCAAUAAAAUAGGAAACUUGUCAACCCCCCAUCCAUUAUAUUAAAUUAAAAUAUUAUUAAGUCCAUUGUCGGUCUAGAAAAUAAUUUGCACAUUCCCGAUUAAGAGUUGACACGUGGAAUAAUUGACUGGCAAAAACAACUUCAAACCCACACGUCACUUAUUCACGGUAAAUGUGUAUUGAGGUUUUAACAUCGACUAUGCUUCCAACAAUAUCCAUUCAAUUACUAGGUUUUUCGGCUAACAAUGUUUCUAUAUUUAGUUUAAUAUAUUCAAAUAAUAAGACCAAACAGAUAAUAUAUUCGAAUGUUCAAAAUUUUUACCCAUGGGGGUUAAUUAGGAAUGCCAACUAUUUAAUAAAACAUUGAAAAUAUUAUUAUUUCGUAGUAUCUAGAGAAUGAAAAUAAAUAAAAAAAGUCAAAGUCAUGCGAGGGUAGAGUAAAAGCAAUCAAAUCAUUAAAGAGAGAAAAAAUCAUUUUUAUUUAUUAAAGUAAUAGGUUAUAGUGUAGAAUGAAAACAAAAAAAAAAAUAUUCAAAACAAAAAGAAGAGUAAAAGCAUGCGACGACACCUAUCUAAUGUGCCAUUGCUCCAGGAGGCCUCCACGUAGCACCCGAGUUGUCUAUUCCACCGUCCAUCUCGCCGACACGACGGACGGGAAAAAAACCCACGCCGGACCCCCCCACCCCCGAAACGGCACAUGUUGGUGUCAGCGGGAGCGUCGGACCGGGCCCCGCCCCGGUUCACGAGGAUCGCCACCGAUGAUGUGGACAUGUCGAGAAGUGGGGCAGGGUCAAAGCAACGGACGGCUUGGAUUCAGCGGGGGCUUGGUCGUUCGGCUUGUCGUACGCCUUUUCAUGUGAUCACGUGAAUUGGGCGUACUACGGUGAGGGGGAACAAGGGGAGAGGGUGGGGCCCGUUGGGCCGGGGAAUGUAGUUAGGCCAUGAUGAUGGACGGCUGGAUGGACGGAUGAGUAUUUGGUUGAUGAAAAGGAGGAAGCGCCAUAAAUCGGUGAUUUCUCGGGGUCCUGAUUCCACGCAAUUGACAGUGUGAAUGUGAAAAUUGAUCCACAACGAACACAAUCAACGCCCCCUGACCCAGCAUCUAGUGGGGAGAAGGUUGUCAUUGAUGAUUAGGCCUUGUAAAUUGGUAUUUUCAUGGUUUGAAUAUAUUUGAUAAAUUUACCUAUACAAAAGUGCUACAAUAGCCGAAGGGGAGGCCAACCGUAGUCCAACCGUAGUCCAACAGAGAUCCAUAUUAGUUUGACGUGAUAUUGCUAUGGUUGUUAUAUUUGUUGUCCGACGAUGAUAUAACGUGAAAUUAUGUUUACGAUUACGCACUUCUGUAUUGAGCCGUGAUUUCCGUGCUUUUUCUGGCGGUAAAAUAUAACAUAUCUGAGACUUUCGACAGUGUAGUUGAUUAGAAUUCAAGACUUUGACCAAGUCCAAGUCUCUCCCUUUCUUCACCAAAACCGGUUCAUUCCCAUUUCCAACAGCAGGCGAAUGCCCUUGUUUCUGUAGGAAUUGGGUUACUGCCUUCAACCAGAGGAAGAGUCUUUGCUCGAUCCCUGGAUGCUGACUGGUGCUUCAGAUUCUCAAGAGCAGUUUCUUAGCUCUACUUCUUGAUGUGCAUCUUUGCCACUUGCAUGCAUCCGAAUCUUCUUUUUCAGUCCUAACUGGUAUGUUGCUUCGUCCUCAUUCCGUCUAUAAGAAUCAAAUAAAGACUCUCCAACUGAACAUCCUUAUUUAACUGGAUCAACAAGUAGAUCUGACGGAUUCUAUACGAAAUGAAGGGUUAAAUGACCUGAAUGGAGGUGGGUGGACGUAACUGCGAGAUGCAAUAAACUUCUCGGAGAGAGACCAAGAAACAGAGAGAGAGAAGGGGCGAGAAGAGAGGGGGGAAGAGCGACAACGGUGGAUUGCAGGCCGUCAAAAGGGUCGAGCUACGCCAUAACUCGCCAUUUCCGAAUACUAGAAAAGAUUUUUUUUAGCUCUAUUUCUCAUGAAUUUGGGUUUUUUGUUUUGAAAGUUCCUUUCCGGAUCUACUUUGGAUUUGCUUUGCCGGCAACGAUUCGGUCAAAAUCCAACGAUAUUCUGAUUCCUCACAUCUCCUUGUAAUUCUAGAAUUAAUUUUUUUCGAGUUGAUAUCCAAGUUGUCUUUGAGUUGAUCGUCUGGGUCUGUUUAAUAUUAAUUUGCAGUUUGGCCUUCCCGCUUGAAUACUCGUGGAUGUUAUUACUUGCUUGAGAAUAAUGCUAUGCGCGCUAGGAAAAUAUAAACAAGAUUGGUACUUCAUAUAAAUGGGUGCGCUCUCUUUGCCCACAGGUUGAUAAUCAAGACGACACAUGCCACGAGUUGAAGAUACAGCCUGGGAAAUUCGUGAUUAGACUGGAGGCAAGAAAUGGCGUUGUCCUUACUGCAGAUGAUACUCUGGAUCAGUGCACAAGAGUGAAAAGUCACUUUCUUAAACAACCAAAAGAAGGGAUUGCCUCUUGCGCAAAAGUGCCGGAUCACAUCAGCACACUAAUGGGAUUGAUACACAAUCAGGUGGCUUUAGUACUUGUGGUAGCUACAUUAUCUGCUCGAGAAUGAUGCUAUUCACUCUAAGAAGAUAUAAAAAAAUUGGAGACAAUAUAUAAUGGGGUGCACUCUUUUUGCUUGCAGGUUCGUAACAAAGAGGAUGUAGCCUGGAAAUUCGUCGAGAGACUGGGGGAUAACAAGUGGCGUUGUCAUCACUGCACGGAAGAAUUCUCUGGAGACCUUACAGGUGUAAAAGGUCACUUGCUUACAGUCCCAAAUGAAGGGAUUUCCGUUUGCACAGGAGUGCCGGACCACAUAAGAACGCUAAUGCGGUCGUUACUUGAUGCGGUGGCUGAAGAAGAGAGCAGAGGAGCCAACAGUCAAUCCUCCAUGGAGCCACAAUCACGUCACAUGCCGACUCAACUGUCGCCUUCAUUUUCACCAGAAAGCCUCGAAUUCUUGAGACCGUUAUUACCAACACCACGGAGGGCGACCAAAAUGGCAAACUUCACCCAACAGGAUGUCAUUGGGUCAAACUCUGACCAACAAUCACAAGCGGAGCGUCAGCUUCGUCAGAGUUCAGCAAUGCCAUUAUUGGUGCAAAGUAGUCAUGGUAUGUCCACGUGAAGUUUCUUUACAUUCAUCUAGGCGUGAAGAAAAAAAAUCUAUUACAUUUUUUAUAUAAUUAACUCUAUCUAAAAUGACUCAAACUUAUCUAUUUCCACAUCGCAUCAAUUCUAAAUUACAGAGGUAUCAUUGCAUUUUCUAUAUGUCCGAUAUCACUAUAUUUUUACAGCACAGUUUAUUUCAUUUAAAUAUUUAACUUACGAGCAUGCUGAUUUUCGUUGUAGAAAUCUCUCUCUGUGAUCAAGUUCUAGAUGUUUGUUUUAUCUGUACCCAUGACUUGAUUUGAAAGUCCCAGUGUUGACUGAUCUUACGCUUGAAUAUUUUAGUGCAACCAGCUUUGGUGUCCCCUCAACAUCAAAGUGUUCUGCGUCAAUCUAUUAAUCAUGAGAUGAGGGAUACACAGCAGAAUCCAACCAUUCCUCUGGAUAAUCUAGAUACCACCCGGCAACCUGAUCUUCGUGACUCUCCACCAGAGAAUCUUGUUGAAUCUCGUGAUGUAAUUGUAAACGCUCUUGACGAAAUGCAAACGAAUGAACAGCAUAAUCCAACAGUGGGAUCAUCAUUACAAAAUGAUUUAUCCCUUGAUGUGGACCAUACAAAUCGUUUACUGGAUUGGAGUCAACCGUGUGCAGUGGAAGGCGUUCCUCUAUUCAGCAAUACAAGUCCGACCAACGCUGUUGAGCAUCCCGAUCAGCUUUACCCUAGGUGUGAUGAGGAAGAUGGAAAUGAUACCCGUUUGUUCCCCUCGCAAACUCCAAUGGACAUAGAUCCCUCAAUUGCCUCACCGCAUUCAAGUGACUCUCAUGAUAAUUUGCAAGUUCUAGAAGCAGCAACAAAUGCAAUAGCCCCAUCAUCAUCACAAGGUAUGUCUGGAUUAAUCUAAAUUGUUCCUCUUGUUCUGUUGGAUUCUUAAAUAUCCCAGAUUAAUUUAUCGAAAUCUAACAUAUGUUUUUAUACAUUAGAUUUGAACAGGGGUUAUCCAAUCAUGACCGCAUGGAGCAUCAAUGCCAAUGAUGAAGAGAUAAGAAAGCUCAAAAGAAAAGUGGAAGAACUUGACGACAAAGAAGCUGACGUAAAGGAGCAGAUGGAGAUAGAGUCUUCUUCCUCAGUUCGGAAGAAGCCGAGGAAAACAGUUGAGAAAUGGCUGGAAAAAACAGAAAGAGCAAGAAAUAAUUUCCAAAUAAUUGGCCAAGCCAAUGGGGAAACUUUGCCUCCGAAGGAACAGGUGGUGACAUUGACGAGAGAAGUGGAAGAGCUCAUAAAACAAGCGCUUCCACAAACACUACUCAUAGAGGAGAGAGAUGCCAAAGGAGUCAAAUUUUUGGAACGAAAGCUAAUAGGUGAAGCGAUUCAUGGGAACAUCGAGUUUAUUUGGGGCCAUCUGAAGAAGAAUCGUGCAUGCAAAUUGGGUAUUUAUGGAAUGGGUGGUGUGGGGAAGACAACUAUCAUGAAGCGAGUACAUGAUAGACUUCUAGAAGAUGCAACCUUUGAUGGUGUGGUUUUUGUCACCGUGUCCAAAGAUUUCAGCAUUUCUAAGUUGCAAAUUGAUAUCAGGAAGGAGCUAAAAUUUGACGUUAAGGAGGUUGAGGAUGAGGAGAAACGAGCAGCAAUGUUGGCGGAGCAUUUAGAAAGAAGGAAGAAUUGUGUAUUGAUUCUUGAUGAUGUGUGGGAACACCCACUUCUUGACCUUAAAGAGGUGGGAAUCCCUGAUAGUGCAGAUGGAUUUAAGUUGGUCUUAACCACUAGAUCCUUUAAUGUGUGCUGCCAGAUGCGAUGCCAAGAGAAGAUAAAAAUUGAGCCUCUAUCUCAAGAAGUAGCCGAGAGAUUGUUUCUGGUGGAGCUUGGAUCCAAAGGGCCACCUAAUUUGGAAAUUGCGAAGUCCAUUGUUAAAGAAUGCGUAGGCUUGCCAAUUGGAGUAAUCACGAUGGCAAGAAGCAUGCUAGGAGCGACUGAUGUGUUUGAAUGGAGGGAUGCCUUGGAGAGAUUGAAAGAAUCGAGUAUUGGGCUAAAAGAUAUGGAGAACAAGGUGUUAAUGAUUCUGAAAUUCAGUUAUGAUCGCCUUGGUGAUCCCGAUGUCCAACAGUGUUUCUUAUCUUGUGCACUUUAUCCAGAAGACGAAUUGAUUUAUAAGUUCGAGAUGGUAGAAUUCUUUAUCGACCAAGGAUUAAUUGAUGGAUUGAAUACAAGGAAGAAACAAUACGAUAGAGGCCUCACCAUAUUGAACAAACUGAUAAAAGUUUGCCUAUUGGAAGAUGAUGGGGACUAUAUGAAGAUGCACGAUUUGAUUAGAGACAUGGCAUUGCAAAUCAUGAGUGCGACUUCAAUUGUAAAAGCAAGAAAGGGAUUGAAGAGGAUUCCACUUGAGGAAUAUUGGACGGAUGCUUUGGAGAAAGUGUCUCUAAUGAAAAAUAACAUUAGCGAAUUUCCGUUGAACUUGUCACCAAAUUGCCCCAAGCUAUCAACUCUUCUAUUGGAUUAUGGCUUGCAUGAUGUGGUCAUACCUGAUUCUUUCUUCAAAAAUUUAUGUGGGCUAAAGGUUCUAAAUCUAAGUAGAAUUGAUAUGACAGAACUUCCAAAUUCCAUCUCAGACUUGGUAAACUUGAGGGCACUAUUGCUUGGAGAUUGUAUGGAAUUGCGCCGUAUUCCUUAUCUAGGGAAGCUCACAUCUUUAAGAAAGUUGGACGCUAAAAACUGUAGGAGUCUUGAAGCGCUCGAGGGUUUGGAAAAGUUGGUGAACUUGAGAUACCUUGACCUUAUUAAAACACGUAUUGAGAGAUUGCCCAAAGGAACGUUGGACCAUUUAUUAAACUUGCAAUAUCUUAAAUUUCCGGCGGUAAAUGAAGAAGACAUUACAAAAUUGGGGGCAUUGGAGACAUUUGAAUGCUACCUUAAAAAUGUGGAUGAUUUUGACAAGUGUGUGAAGGCUAUUGAGCAGAGUAAUAACACUCGCUAUUACAACCUCAUCGUGGAUCUAGGAAAACCAGAGUUUUUUGUGCAAGUAAGUGAUGAUACUCGAUGUGGGAGUUUUGAGAAUUUGGGGAGGAGAGUCAUCAAUAGGGACUGGGGUCAUGCCAUUGUGAGUGUGGGAGGCGAAUGCACCGGCAUUUUUAUUUUGAUUCCCCGAGACGUGCAGGCAAUGAUGAUGAAAAAAUGCAACGGUACAACAAAUUUGUCUAGCAUAGGUCUGCUUAAAUACCUCGAAGAGCUAGAAAUAGAAAGAUGGGAAAACAUAGGGGUGCUAUGUGGAGAACGAGACGAAGAAGUAAUUAACAUCCACGACUCCCUCGCCCGAACCCCUAUGUCUCUCCUCUUCCCGAGCCUUAGGGUUUUGAAAAUAUGGAAAUGUCCGAAGCUGAAGUAUCUCUUUGGGCAUGGGUCUAAAUCCAACCUUCCGCAUCUACGAAAGAUUGAAAUAAAUGAAUGUGAGGAAAUGGUGGGGAUAAUAGCAGCAGUUACAUCCCCACCACCACAUCUGCUCCCAUUUUUCCCUAGUCUGGAAUCGAUUAAUGUUGAAUCCUGUGGUAAAAUGAAGAGAGCGGUGGAAUCUGAGUGGAUGCCCCACUUCCCUAAUCUGAGAUGGAUCGAAGUAACCGGAUGUGAGACGAUGGAUGAGAUAAUUAGAGGUCCUCCACCAUACUUGCUAGUUGAAGGGAUUCCUCUCCAAUCUCUUAUGGUAAAAUGUUGCGAUAACAUGAGAAAGUUGUUUCCGCAUGAAUGGCUGCUCCAUCUUCGAAAUCUGCAAGGUAUCGAUGUCUGUAACUGCGAAGGAAUGGUGGAGUUGAUAAGUGGAGCAGGACAACGCCAAGAAGGAAGUAUAAUGACUCCUGUAAACAACACCCCUUCAUCCUUCCAGCCUUCAAUUUCUCUCCCAAAGCUGGAUUUGUUGUGCUAUACGAUCUACCCCAGCUGAAGAGCAUAUGCGAAGUACCAAUAAGGUGCGAUUCCAUGAAAGAAUUGACGGUGUCCAGAUGCUCAGACCUGAAGGGGAUUCCUUUGCAACUGCGAUUGCGUGAUAUUGAGGAGCUUCCGUUUUUUUUUUGGUGGAAGAUGAGGAAAGGUGGAAGACGUUGAUGUGGGAUCAUCCCGAUGCUCAAGCUAUUCUUCAACCUUAUCUCAGAAAAGGGGAAGAUGCUAUAGGUUAAUGAGUUUAAUUGAUAUACGAUUGCUUCACUUCUUAAAAGUCCUUACAAAGAUGUAGCUUUUCUGUCUAUAUAGUCAUGCAGCUCUCUAACAGUGGCCUUUUGCAGAAUUGGAGGCCAAGGGAAAGUAUCUCCAGUGACUCUGCUCUUGAAGAAAGCCCUGUUGCUCAAUCAUGCUUUCCUGCAAAAUCGACUCGAGUUACCAUAUGAAUUGACUUUUUUCGUGUGGUCAUGCUUUGUGUAAUUUGAACGCGCUUGCAUGUUUUAUUGACUACUGGAAAUGAGUCAAUUUGGUCGAUAUUUCAGUUUAGUCAAAAAAACAACAGAUCUAAGGAUUUGGGAAGCCAGGGGACUAGUAGAGUUUGUUUCCUAUCUUAUCUUAUAACUGAAAGGACAAUUUAUUCAUACAUGCUCAGGUUGAGGAUCAGCUUUACGUAUAUCUAGAAUAUGCACAUCAUUAUUGUCUUGUCAGGCGGUAGGGGAAAGUCUUUCCCCCAUUUGGUUUUGCUCCCAAGUGAUGCUGCAAGUUUACCGUAUUUUCCCCUUAUGGUUGUUUGUAAUUUCGUGGAAUGUUUUUAGAAUAAUUUUGCAUCUCCUCUCUAUAAAAUGCAAAUAACCGAUGAAAUAUGUUGAAAAUAUCUCAUACUGAUUGUUUACAAGGUUUUAAUGGGCCUUACAUUUAUAUAAUUUACCUUCGCUUGUUCAAAUUUUUAGGUCGAACUUUCUCUUAUGUGCAAAUAGCAAUUUCUACAUGAAAUGAAGAGUAAACAUGCUUCCCUUUUUUUUUCUACGAUUAAAGUGAUUAUUCUAAGAAAUAUAUAAAGUGUGACAGAAAAAGCAACUCCUUGAAAUUUUGUAAAGUCGGAGGCGCAGCUCAGAAUGAGCUAUGACUCUCGGCUGCAUUGGAUUCUCUCUUCAUUUUCGUUUUCUUUUGUUCUUUUCCUCAUUUUUUAGCCAACAUCCUAACCAUAAGGCGCCUUUUCUCUUUUCUCUCUUAUCUCCCCCCUCCCCCAUUUCUUCGUACAACUCGCUCUUCUUUUCCUGCCUCUUUUUUUUUUUUUUUUUGGGGGGUUCUCUGCCCAAACCCUUAACGAAGACAACUAAUUGGUAUUUAGUUUUCCAAAGUGUAGCAUUAUUGAGCACCAUCACCGACCAUUAAGUUCGCUAAACUCAGUCAUCAAUUAAGUAACUAUUCUUGUUUAACAAGAGCUGCACCGACGUGGCAAGAAAAAGACAAACAAAAACUCAGGUAAGAGCUCAUUGAUUUUCAAGACUCCAUCGUAAAAAUCGAAGAAAAGAAACUAUGAAUAUGUGCUGGAUUUUUCUCUGCCGCUGUGUCCUUUUUGAACCACUUUUGAUCCAGAACUCUAUCAUUUUCAGCUCUCCCUUUCUGUUCCUUUUGGUGUUUUCACGCUGCUAAUUUCCUUCGCUCACGCGCACACACACACAUGAAGGAAUGUCAUGUUGAAAGUGGCCUCCUUUCGGCCAACCAGAGGGAGGGAACGGAAGGGACUUUUACUUCGGAGAGGGGGCCGCGUCCAAAAUUCUCAUAAGAAUUCCCGUUUAAAUUCACCAAAGGAAAUUCAAGAGUCGGAUUAUGUAACAGAUUUUUUUUUUUUUUUUGGCAGUCCUACGCUAUUCCUACUCUACACUCACUCGCAGACUUGUGCCCUGCCUCUUGCAGGGCGUGGGAGUCGCAACCCAAGCUCGAAACUUACGCGUCCCUAUCCCCCAUCCCCCCUGAGGAGGUGGGGAUUUGAACCCCUCACCUCCCCCUUCCAUGUUGAAAGGGUGGCCACUGGGAUUGUGUAACAGAUUGGUUCACAAGAAUUGCGCUCUUAUUAGAAAGGGUAGUGCAUAGAAGAUGUGAGAUUACAAAUGAUUUAUAUGGGUCAAUGGUCAAAUUAUCGGUGUNNNNNNNNNNNNNNNNNNNNNNNNNNNNNNNNNNNNNNNNNNNNNNNNNNNNNNNNNNNNNNNNNNNNNNNNNNNNNNNNNNNNNNNNNNNNNNNNNNNNNNNNNNNNNNNNNNNNNNNNNNNNNNNNNNNNNNNNNNNNNNNNNNNNNNNNNNNNNNNNNNNNNNNNNNNNNNNNNNNNNNNNNNNNNNNNNNNNNNNNNNNNNNNNNNNNNNNNNNNNNNNNNNNNNNNNNNNNNNNNNNNNNNNNNNNNNNNAUAGGAUUUAGCGAAUUGACAAUGCAAAAAUUGAGAGAGAAUAUGAAGUGAUUCUGUGCACUUUUGAAACUCUGUUAGUGUACAUUCUUGUAGUUUUUCCUUGUCAAAAUAUAUUGAUUUUCAACUUUCACUAAAAUGUCGCACAUUCAAUUAGGAAGCAUAUGAUUAAUAGUCCUAAUCAGCCAAGUCACAAAACAAAUCAUAAGAGAUCUAAUGCGGUUGUCACUAAGCCUCGAAUUGGUGGGAUGAUCUUUCCCAUGGCAAGAGCGGCUAACAUCACAAACUUCAUCUUCUAGGGAUUAAGUUAAAAUAUUAUGUUUGGCACUUACGGUGUUCUUAUACUUCAUAAUAAAUAUGUUAUUUAUUUUAUCAGUUAAUCUACCCUGAACAACAUGCUAAUAUUAGUUUAGAUAAUUUGUCAAUUUGGCUAUAGCUUGGAAUAAGAGACGAUAACAAUAUAAAUUCAAUAUUGAAAACUUUUUGUUUGAUUUUUUUUUCUCGCUUUUUAGUUAUUCUUUUAGCAAUUACCGAAUAACAUCAUUCAAACCUUGUAAUGCCGCAUCUAUUUAUUUAUUUAUUUAUUUCAAUUAGUUUACGGCUAAAAUGGGCGAAUCAACAUACAUGAUUUCACCACAAAAUAAAUGGACUUUUUUUGAAAAAAAAAUUAAAAAAAGAGAUAGAAUAAUGGCUCAUAUUAGAACCAUUUACCAAGUAAUGCAAAUUAAAACCAAGUCUUAAUUUUUUUUUAUGUGUAUUAAAAAUUUCCAAUAUCAUAUCAUUUCAUUUUACACAUAAAAUGAAUAGAAUAAACAUUAAAACCCUUUGUCCAUCGUAAGAUAGAAAGUAAACAUCAAAUUUAGAUAAUCUUACUUUAAAUACUUAUGUAGCAAGAACAUACAUAAAAAAUAGAACAUAAUGCAAGAACUAAACAGUAAUAUAACGAUUGAUUUAUAUAAAGUGUCAAUAUAACAUUAUGCAAAAAUUUUAUACAUGUAAUAUGGGUUCAUAUCAAUAAAUGGAAUUUGAAGAAGUAAAUUUCUGAAUUUGUGCAACCCACGGGUCUUUGUUUACUACACAUUCCACAAAAAAUAUGCAGUCAUAAGCUACAAUCUGAUGGAAUCAUCUACCAAUAUACAAAGUUCUAUUCACAUCAUAGGAAAUGUUUUCUAGCAAUCUGAUGGCCUCGAAUAUUUUGGGGGCAAAGAUGGACACAUUUCAUUCAUAUGAGGGUACGAGUCCAUUGUGUUGUACCUUGGCAGCUCCAUUCGAUACCUACCUCGUAUUUGACAGAAUGGAAUGGAAGCUCAAUGUCAUCCCCAUAAUUGAACCACUUAGGCAAGUGGCUUGAAUUAUUCUCGAAGAACCUUAGUGAGUAAUCUUUUAUCUGCAUAAAAAACAAUGCCAUUCACAAAAUGCCAAAUGGGAUUCCUCAUGACAAAAGUUCACGCUUCGAAAGGCAAACUAGAUUAUAGUUUUCUCAAUCUUUGAAAAAAGUGACAUCCAUCUCUAGAUAGUAAGUUCAAGCAACUAGGGUCAGAAAGAUAACCCAACUAGGGUCAAUCAAUCGCACUUACAGUGAACUUUGUAACUCGAAUGGAGCUAGAAAUUAGAUCAAAGAGACCUGCUGCUUUGUAUAUUUCAAGAACAAAAGCUACACAUGAGGCAGACUUCCCAUCACUGUAUACCCAAUCAUCUUGCUCUGGAAUUGUCAGCAGUUCAGCAAAAGAUGGCCCCCUCAUUUCCCUUUCGACUAUUAGAUCAGGAAGAUCCAAGCCCUAUAUGCAACACAAUUGUAAGGUCGCCAUAAAGUAAAUUGCAAUUUGAAUGGGAUGGUACCUCUGUUCCUAGUUGCUUGUUGAGUGCUUCAUUCCGCAUGUUCGCAGCAUAGGCUGGUUGCAUUUGGUUCCAUACUGUCAUAACAGAAGCAACCUACAAUAAUACAAUGCUCUCUAUAAAAUGAGUGAACCACACUCCGAUCAUGCGAAGAAAGCACCCGACAUGGCGAGCAUAUUACAUGCAUCAUCAGCCGGGCCGAUAAAAACUCUUAAGAAAAGAUGAACAAAGUCCACUAUUUUGCUGCCUUAGUAUCAUAUAGGAGGCCAUAAAAAAUGAAUAUUUGUCAAACCAAGUCAGAUUCUUUUCCACAAUAUUAGCACUCAAUAGAGUCACAUGCUAAUCUGCUAUUUGGGGAGAUCACUGUUCAGUUUUUAGCCUUUUGCUUUGCUCAGUUGAAUCCAUUCGAAAUCAUGGUAUGACUGUCUAAUUCCAGCAAGACCAUGCUGUUAGGAUCUGACACAUGGCAUCAUUAUAUUUCAAGGUUUAUCAAAGUAAGGGUAAAUUGAUGUUUUGUAGUUAGGUUGAGAAGCAGAAACUAUUUCAUAUCCAGCAUCAAAGAAUCUCAAGUCACCUACAACACAAGCCCUUAGUGUUAGAAAAUUGUCUAAGACAAACCGAAUGCACCCACAAAAUAUUUAUAAACACAUAUGCACAUGUACAAUCUCU
This 22662-nucleotide long non-coding RNA is filed under the name Eucalyptus grandis. Its description in RNAcentral is "long non-coding RNA (EGRA_LNC003567)". Lineage: Eukaryota; Viridiplantae; Streptophyta; Magnoliopsida; Myrtales; Myrtaceae. The record is from RNAcentral.